UACGUAGGGUGCAAGCGUUAAUCGGAAUUACUGGGCGUAAAGCGAGCGCAGGCGGUUAUGUAAGACAGAUGUGAAAUCCCCGGGCUUAACCUGGGAACUGCAUUUGUGACUGCAUGGCUAGAGUGUGUCAGAGGGGGGUGGAAUUCCACGUGUAGCAGUGAAAUGCGUAGAGAUGUGGAGGAACACCGAUGGCGAAGGCAGCCCCCUGGGAUAACACUGACGCUCAUGCUCGAAAGCGUGGGGAGCAAACAGG
This 253-nucleotide ribosomal RNA is filed under the name uncultured bacterium. Its description in RNAcentral is "partial 16S ribosomal RNA". It matches the Rfam family "Bacterial small subunit ribosomal RNA", at positions 524 to 776 of the family's 1533-position model. The record is from RNAcentral.